UUUAAAUUUAGAGUUUGAUCCUGGCUCAGGACGAACGCUGGCGGCGUGCUUAACACAUGCAAGUCGAGCGAUGAAGCUUCCUUCGGGGAGUGGAUUAGCGGCGGACGGGUGAGUAACACGUGGGUAACCUGCCUCAAAGUGGGGGAUAGCCUUCCGAAAGGAAGAUUAAUACCGCAUAAUAUAAGAGAAUCGCAUGAUUUUCUUAUCAAAGAUUUAUUGCUUUGAGAUGGACCCGCGGCGCAUUAGCUAGUUGGUAAGGUAACGGCUUACCAAGGCAACGAUGCGUAGCCGACCUGAGAGGGUGAUCGGCC
Molecule: ribosomal RNA, 311 nt
Filed under: Clostridium botulinum
Lineage: Bacteria; Bacillati; Bacillota; Clostridia; Eubacteriales; Clostridiaceae
Description: bacterial SSU rRNA
Rfam family: Bacterial small subunit ribosomal RNA
Source: RNAcentral